UCAUAGUCAGGGGGUCGUACAACCUGAAACUACCUGGGGGUCACUUCAUCACUUCUUGAGGGCUUCCCAGCAGCAGAUCAAAGUGCUUGCUUGAUUUCCUGUCUAGAAUUCUGCCUUCCUCUGUGUUUAGCAUUCCUUAUCUGGAAGCAUGAGGAGUACAGGCUCCGAAUCCGCUCUCGCUACUCAUAUCCACCAAGAAGCAACGCAGCAAGACAGACCCCGAAGGAACAAGUCCUGAUCCUGCCCCCAUAGCCAGCAAAAUUAAUCACCGAGCAAAGCACCACGUCUACUAUCGAGUCUGAAACCUGCUGUCUCCCUCGGACUCAUUUGUAACUGCUCUGUUAAACUGGGCUUUUUGAACAUAGGAUCUAAUGCAGGCGUUUGAACAGCGCUGUCUGGCCAGGACUGUUUUGUUUCAUCUGCCUGCUCUCAUAUUUACGGCUUCGAAGGCAAAGUCAGAACGCUGUGGAGAUAUGGAGGCAUGACUUGAGUAGGCAGGAAGAACGUGGUCAAUGUUGUGGGACUGGAACUCAAUCCCAGCCUAACCGCCUCACUUGCUCCUGUCACUGUCUUUGUUCUUCAAGAUGCAACAUGGCCGCGGAUUCAGCUGGUGCCUGCUCCUGA
Non-coding RNA from Podarcis muralis (Common wall lizard), 624 nucleotides. The record is from RefSeq and is a predicted model, not a curated record. NCBI's taxonomy places the organism in Eukaryota, Metazoa, Chordata, Lepidosauria, Squamata, Lacertidae.